UAUAUUUGUUACUGGAUCCUCAAGUCCAUUUCUGCUGCAUAGCUGGAUAGGUAUGUUUGGUAUUCUUUUAUUUUUUUUUUGUUUUUUUUUUUUUUUUUUUUUUUUUUUUUUUUUUUCCAAAAAAAAAAAAAAACCAACAACAUAAAUAAUUCAGAACACGUGCUUUAUAUCAACUGUUUCCCUGAUACUAUUUUAUGUCUAUAAACAGGGCAGAGGCAAACCCUAUCCAAACAAGGAAGGGGAGGAAGAUGCAUUGCAAAAUUGUGGAUGGGUCACAUGAGUCAAAAAUACAUGCAUAGAUAUAUUUUUGUCUGGAAGGCCCAGCUCAGAAGUGUGAUGCCUGCAUUUUAGUGCUUUGCACAGUAAGUUGCUUCCCAGAAAAAGAGAACAUUAAAAACACGAUCAGCAAAAGCCUGGUAAAAGUUGUAACCAGCUCUGACUGUCCAUGGUAUGACAGCCAACAAAUAUCACCUGCUGAUGAUUUACAGAUUCCUGGGAGAUGUGGUGUUGAGUCUCAAAGAACUGGAACAAGAACAACUCACUCAACGUGCUUCUCAGGAAACAAUGCAGGAAGGCAGUUUUGGAUCCCAGCCACAAUACUUCUGCAACCUGGUUUGAAUGGGCCUGACGGGAUGCCAUAAUGGAACCUACACUGAACAAGGUACGCGGAAAGCUGUCUGACAUGGGCUCUAUUUCAAAGAAAAAAUACAGUUUCCAUCCAGGCU
This 725-nucleotide long non-coding RNA is filed under the name Anser brachyrhynchus (Pink-footed goose). Its description in RNAcentral is "lncRNA (ENSABRG00000013236.1)". The record is from RNAcentral. Lineage: Eukaryota; Metazoa; Chordata; Aves; Anseriformes; Anatidae.